GACGAACGCUGGCGGCGUGCUUAACACAUGCAAGGCGAACGGAAGGGCCGUGCGUUUGUGGGGUGCUCGAGUGGCGAACGGGUGAGUAACACGUGAGUAACCUGCCCUGGACUUUGGGAUAACUUCAGGAAACUGGGGCUAAUAACGGAUAGGAGCUCCUGACGCAUGGUGGGGGUUGGAAAGUUUCGGCGGUUGGGGAUGGACUCGCGGCUCAUCAGCUUGUUGGUGGGGUAGUGGCUUACCACGGCUUUGACGGGUAGCCGGCCUGAGAUGGUGAACGGCUUCGCCGGGACCGGGAGACGGCCCAGCCUCCUACGGGACCCACCACUGGGCAGCAUCGCCCACGGCGCCCACGCCUGAUGUCGGCACGCCGCGUGCGGGAUGCCGGCCUCCGGGCUGUAAUCGGCUUUCGCACGUGCCGGAGCCUGUCUCCCGGCAACCGGUAAAGACGCACCGGCUAACUACGUG
Molecule: ribosomal RNA, 468 nt
Filed under: uncultured bacterium
Lineage: Bacteria
Description: partial 16S ribosomal RNA
Rfam family: Bacterial small subunit ribosomal RNA
Source: RNAcentral